AAGUUUGGGCCAGGGUGGCCUUCCAACCUGAGUUCUCUACUAUUGGAGUAUCAUGAUACUCAUGGAUCAAAGAAAGACGCAUGUUCUCCCAAGCAGGUAUAAAAACGCGUCCCUUAUAGAAUAAUAAGCCUUAGGAAAAGUGAUAUUGUGUGGUCUGAGUAGAUUCUGAAGUAUGUUUUUGUAUAACUGUCUGCCCAUCUGGUGUAGUAAAAAAAUGCUUCAAACAGUCUAGAAUAUGAGGAAAUGGUGAAGACAAAGCUGCCAGAAUGGGAGAAUCCUCACUACAACAUCGAGAUAAGGUAUUUGUCACUCUAUUUGAGAUACCAGACCUAUACUUUAUUACAUAUUGAAAUCCAAUUAAUUUGGUUGUCCAUUUUUGCUGUUCUGGUGUCUGAAAUCCUUGAGUCAUCAAGUGUCUCAAACUUUGUUGAUCAGUGUAUAUUGUAAAUUGUUUACCUAACAAAUAUUGUCUCCAUUUCUUGACAGAUUUUGUUACGGCAAACAUUUCCCGAACAUAGGCAGAGGAAUGUUGCAUUCUGGGGGACAUCUUCUUACUAAAGUAAGCAAGUGGAUGACCCUUUUGAGAGAGGACUGCCCCAAUGGCCACAAUGGAUGCAUCGGUCUUAACAGCAAAGGGUUCUGAGAAAUCAGGAAGUUGUAGUACUAGUGUUGUUGUCAUUGUUGUUUUUAGAAUUGUAAAGGUAGAGUGUGCCUUUGUAGACCAAGCAAAUUGUUGUAAUUUUAAUAAAUCAGUAAGGGGAGCGG
Molecule: long non-coding RNA, 765 nt
Filed under: Lupinus angustifolius (narrow-leaved blue lupine)
Lineage: Eukaryota; Viridiplantae; Streptophyta; Magnoliopsida; Fabales; Fabaceae
Description: long non-coding RNA (LANG_LNC001439)
Source: RNAcentral